This 458-nucleotide long non-coding RNA is filed under the name Monodelphis domestica (gray short-tailed opossum). RNAcentral's name for it is "lncRNA (ENSMODG00000037818.1)". Lineage: Eukaryota; Metazoa; Chordata; Mammalia; Didelphimorphia; Didelphidae. The record is from RNAcentral.
UUUGGGAUGUAGAUCUAAUAGUGGUAUUAGUAGAUCAAAGGUUAUAUUUUUUUUAUAGCCCUUUGGACACAAUUCCAAAUUGCUCAACAGAAUGGUUGGAUCAGUUCACAACUCCACCAGGAAGACAUUAUUGAGCUGAAUUUUCAAGGAGCAUCAGGAAAUCAGGAACAUUCUGGGCAUGGAGAAAAGCCCAGAGGAAAAGCAUCCCUGAGGAAAAGAUAUUGAACCAGUCCAGAGGAAAAGAUUUUAAACCAGCGCAGAGGAAAAGAUUUUAAACCAUCCCAGAGGAAAAGCAUCAAGAAAAGUUGCUAGAGAGAAGAAACAAAGAGAAAAACUGAAAUGGACAGCUAAGACUUUGAACUUUGUAAAUUUGUUUAUAUGAAAAGAGGACAGAUGGGAAAUGGGACUUAUAUGUAAGACUGGGUGUGUUGAAAUAAUAAAACAAAAGUAAUUUCACA